This 396-nucleotide long non-coding RNA is filed under the name Carica papaya (papaya). RNAcentral describes it as "long non-coding RNA (CPAP_LNC004015)". Lineage: Eukaryota; Viridiplantae; Streptophyta; Magnoliopsida; Brassicales; Caricaceae. The record is from RNAcentral.
GGUCCAGGGGAAUAGGACGGUGUCAGAAUAUGCCCGUAAGUUCUUGGAGUUAGGCCGAUAUUCCCCUGAGACGUUGAUGGAUGAGGGUAGGAAGGCUAGAAGGUUCCAGUGGGGCCUCCGCCCAGAGAUCAAGCAGCACCUAUUUGUACUGGAGCUCAAGACAUACUCAGCCGUUCUGGCCAAGGCACAGUUAGUAGAGAGGAGCCUCCACACCCUCCCUCAGUUAGCAGGGAACCACAGACCCUCAGCUCCACUCCGCAGACCAGUACCUACUGCGCCUGUCCAACAGAACAAGAGGCCCAGACCGGUGAUCCAAGCUCUCCCUCAGGCUCCAGUGGCAGGACGUGGUAAGAUCUAUCAGCAUUGUGGCAGGGAUCACGGGGACCGAUCAUGUUA